GCUGCUCGAAUAAUCACACACCUCUUCGUGGUAAGCAGCAGGCAACGAUCUGUGAUCGGCAGAGAUGUGAUA
RNAcentral lists this ribozyme (72 nucleotides) under unclassified sequences. RNAcentral's name for it is "HDV ribozyme from F. prausnitzii". It matches the Rfam family "HDV ribozyme from F. prausnitzii". The record is from RNAcentral.